Molecule: long non-coding RNA, 925 nt
Organism: Capsicum annuum
Lineage: Eukaryota; Viridiplantae; Streptophyta; Magnoliopsida; Solanales; Solanaceae
Exons: 5
Source: RefSeq, a predicted model, not a curated record
UUAUCUUAGCUUUAUUGUAUGUCACAUGUUACAAAUGUGUCUUUCAUGCACAUCUUCUAUCUUUUGAACAAAAUUUUUUUGCAUUAGUAUUUUCUCUCAACACUCUUCAUCUUCGGCUUCUACAAUCACAAGGUUUCUGUGCAUAUCGUUCUGAUUUGCUCUUUUGUGUUUUGAUUAUGUUCUUUCGUGUGCUGACGCUCUUUUAACUUUGGUGUCCAUACUGCACUCUAAGGAUGACAUAUGAUUAACUAGCGCAGGAGACAGUUUGGCAUUUCCUCGUUCAAUCUCAUAUCGUACUGCAGGCGACUUGAAAAAAAAAUUAUACAUUGGUUCUUUGGAACAUUUGGGUGAUGUUAAAAGCUUGGGUCAAUAAGCUACAUAAGGGGAUAAAUUUUUCCUUUACCGUACCCUUACUUUCACUAACUUAUAAAAAGGGCAGCCUGAUGCACUAAAGCUACCGCUAUGCGCAGUGUUCGGAGAAGGACCCCACUACAAGGGUGUAUCAUACGCAGCCUUAUCUUGCAUUUCUGCCAGAGGCUGUUUCCAAAGCUUGAACCCGUGACCUCCUUGGAAACAGCCUCUAACACUAACUUAUGAUUGAUGUAAUUAGUCAAUCUUUAUGGAAUCGAAGUGUUUAUAAUUCAACUUUUCUUGUGAGUUUCAGGAUUGUGGACAUUCUUACACUACUCAACUAGUUCAACCAAGUAAACUUACUAAUUAAGAUCUGAAUAAAGACAGAAUUGAAUUAUAUGUUCAGCUGGUCUUAUCUGAUGUAUUUGACUUGUGCAUGGGAUUUUUGAAUAUAUCUAUGUAGAUGUAGCUUUAAAAGGGGAAAAAAAUGCAUGGUUUAUGGUUGUUGUAAAGUAAUUUAAUACCAAUUAGUAUUAUAAAGAAACUUAAAUAUCAAUGCUAGUCGUAGCUAUAA